RNAcentral lists this small RNA (125 nucleotides) under Marmota monax (woodchuck). The record is from RNAcentral. Lineage: Eukaryota; Metazoa; Chordata; Mammalia; Rodentia; Sciuridae.
GCUGGGCAUGGUGGUGCAUGCCUGUAAUCCUAGUGGCUCAGGAGGCUGAGACAGGAGGAUCUCCAGUUCAAAGCCAGCCUCAUCAAUGGUGAGGUGCUAAACAACUCAGUGAGACACUGUCUCUA